AUAUAUGCAUAUGUGUGUUUUCCCCAUUUAUAACAACUAUGUAAAAUAUGCUGGGUUGGAAGAUUUGGACCUCUCAUCAUCAUCCUGGGAAUGUUCCAGAAACGUCAGUGACUGGUGGCAGUGGGCCAAGGACAAACUCUCAGGAGCCAAGGACAAACCAGACACACUGAAGAAAGGCAGCUUUAAAACUCUGCAAGGGGCCCAGAAGACAGCUACAGCAUGACUAAGGGAAACUUCAUGAGGAUCCCACUAAUUGAAGAAAUGGACUUCCAGUUGUAGUGUUGGCAGAUUGCUGCAGACCGUGUUGACUUUGAAGAAGACAGCUAGAAAGAGGAAAGACCCUACACACAAGCAAAAGUCUUUGGCAAAUCUUAUUGAUGAGAUAGCAUGCCAUUCUGCUGCUUGGGCAACAUGCUGCCAUAUCUAGAGACCCAGCAUGGAGAUAUAUUGACAUCUGAUGUUCUGGCGGCACAAGUUCCAGGUCAAACUAAAGGACUGCAAACUCAUCAACUGAUCCAUUCUACCUUGAAGUAGUGGACUGGGUUCAACGUGGAGGUAAUUUUCAAUUUCAGGCCCUAACUACAGAAGGUCAGGAUAAGUUUCUAGUAAUGAGUCACCAGAAUGUAUUUCAUCCACAAAUGUAGUAGCUGUGGUCACUGAAAGUUGUUUAAUUUCCAUAGAAUUGCAAUAUUCAAGGGGAAUGGAAGACAUCAAGAUACUAGAAUAAACAAAAUGCUGAGCAGAUGAGGUUUUUGAUUCUUUGUAACAAGUUUAAAGAAAUUCCUUGAAAGGUCCUUGAAAUUCUACUUCAAACAUUGCUGAAAGUUACAUCAUUUGGCCAACUUGCAGUACAGUCACCUGAGUCAGGGUGGCUAAUUUUAAGAAUAACAUCCUGAUUACACGGGUAAGAGUCAAGCUGAGAACAAUGACAGGUCCCAUAGAUAGCACCUUCUAUCAUUCAUUAAAAGGAAUUAGAACUUUUUCUGGGAGCUAGAUACAGAAGAAAUCUGAGGCUUUAUAAUACUUGAUCUAGCCAUAUUUCUUCAAAGGUACCAAACCAACAUCUUCAGCUUUAAUAUUUCUGUACCAUGACUUCCCAAUUUUUCAAAAGGCAAUAAUACUUGCCUUACUGUGAUGCAAAGUGAAUUGUUAAUAAAUGGUAUAUAGCAGAAUUGUAAUACCAUGCGUUUAAGAAGACAGUGUAACAUAGUGGAUAGUAUGCUGGCCUAACCUGGAAUUAGAAGCCCUGGGUUCAAAUCCCACCUUAGACACUUACUGGCUGUGUGAUCAUGGGCAAGUCGCUUAAUCUGUAAGAAACUCAAUUUCCUCAUCUACGAAAUGGGAAUAGUGAUAUGUGUAUUACCUAAAUCAUUGUUAUAAAGAAAACAUUUUUGCCAACAUUAAAAUGCUUUGUCAAGGUGAGUGAUUAUGACUACUGUAAUGUUUUAGUAUGGUGUGGCACAGUACGUAUUGUGAAAAUGGAACAAUAGGUCAGAAACUAAGGGGCUAUGAGUUCUACCUUAAGCUUUGCCACUUAUAGAUUGUAACUUGCUUUAUGUCUCUCAGUAUCUUCACCUGUAUGGUGAUGAGGAGCACUACCAACCUUUCACACCUGGUAGAUAUGAAGAAAAAGUCUUAGAAAUGAUGUAGAUUUUUAUCAAAUGACCUCAAUAAAGCAUCCUGCAGGGAAAAGGCAUUGCUCUUCCUUCCCUCUGACCAAAGAAACAACAUAGGCAAAUAUAUGAUAGAUUUGUAGCUAUUAAUGGGACUGAUCUUCCCAUAUGGAUGGUGUUAAACUGCUCAUUUUGGAAAUGUACAUUCGGUCAUACAAGUCACUUCCAUGUGCUGAAAGUAUUCAUUUAUUAAAGGCAUGUGAGUGAGCUGAAAGACCCAACAUAACACCUUCAUACUGUGGGCAGUUUUCUACCCUAUUAAGGUCCCAGGUCCCACUU
Vombatus ursinus (common wombat) is the source of this 1952-nucleotide long non-coding RNA. RefSeq lists it as uncharacterized. The record is from RefSeq and is a predicted model, not a curated record. Lineage: Eukaryota; Metazoa; Chordata; Mammalia; Diprotodontia; Vombatidae. The transcript has 3 exons.